UCAUUUUUCACAAACCCUACAUACCAAUUUCCUAAUUCUGCUUCUUCCUUUUUCACCGAUCCUUCUUCCUUCUUCAUCGAUCGAUUACCGAUUCCUACGAUGUUUUGUUUUGAAGUGUUAAUCAGGGUUUCUGGCAAUGUAUUGAACAUCACCCAGAUGAUGAUAAAGAAAAGAGCCCAAGUAAGUUUUUCUUUUCUGAAUUAAGGGUUUAUUAAUUGUGUCAGAAUUGUUUUGUUUAAGGUCCCCAGAUUGAGAAGAAGAGCGUCGAUGUUGUUUGGACGAGGGUAGGUUUCAGCAGAUUUGAAGAUGAGUUUUUUUUCUGGACAACAUUCUUCAUCCGACAACUAAGGUAUGAAUUGAAUCACUGAUCUCGAGCUUCUUCUCAUGUCCAUGAUUGUGAUUGAUUUUUUUUCAAAAUUAUUUAGAUAUUGAUUAUAUUAUGAAUAUAUUAAGCUCACUGGUUUUGAAUUUAAGUUUGAAUGAUAUUCAACUAUUUAAGUAUAUUGUUUUGACUAAUUAUUUCAAAAUUUGAAUUUUUGAAAUUUAUAUCAAUUAUGGAUGGAUACUUAUCAAAGUUGUCUAAUUUGUAACGGAUUUCCAAAUUUAUCGAGAUAACUUAUAUUAAAGUUUUAAUUGCUUCCAAAUUUUGUGUGAUUUCCAUAAUUUUCGACAAUCACAUUAUUUUUCAAGUUUCUAAGAAUUUGGAAAGAUAUAUAGCAUCUGUUUUAAACCUAAAUGACCUCUCUGUAUGUCAAACAUGGUUUGGUUGUUGACGCACAAGCCAAUUAAACCACCCCAUCAAAUCAAGUAAGUAAGUCAAUAGAUUAAUUUAAGUGUAGUCUAGGUUUUAACUGCUACUGAGUUGUUGAAUCUGCAGUGUUUUGGGCUUAUGUGUCGUGUUCUGAUUACCUGUACUUUUUUGAGUCAAAUAGUUAUAUUAUUCUUAGGAUGAUCAUUCAGCUUUGUUGAGCUUGCAAGUAUGUUUAUUUAUCCAUUACAUCUACAAUACGUUAUCAAAAGUAUUUUAUAAAAGGUUUAUUGUGGUUACCGUUUAGGGAUUGUGUAUCCGAACCGAUUAUACCUUCAAUUUAGUUUAGGAUAUCUUUUUGAUGUUUUGUUAUUUGAUUACUGUUGUCAUCUCAGAUCUGCAAGCCGCAUAUCAUAUCAAAUGAAAAAAUAAAUUGAAGGUUAGGGACUUAGAGUGUCGACACACUUCUGGUGUUGGAUUAUCGACACCUGCAUCUUAAAUGAAGAUGAUUUUAUGCAAAAAUUCAUGAAGUUGCAAAAGUGUAUAUUCUGACCACAUGAGUUUUUAUUCGUGAAGUUGCAAAAGUGUAUAUUCUGAACACAUGAGUUUUUGUUUAGAAUGGGAACAUUAGCAUACCAAGUAUGCUUUGCUCAAUUAUUGUUUCAGUUUGAUACCAGUUUUCUGAUUGUUGGAUGGGUUGGGGACUAACUUCUAAAAUGACUCUUUAUAUGAAAUCAUCUCUAUUUGGUUUUGUAGAUUGAAGGUUCAUAUCUUGAAGAUGGUAAAAGUCUCAACAAUUGGGAUGUGUUUUCUCUUUAAUAUUUUCAUUUUAGGUUUUAUUUAUCCAUUUUUAUGUCAAUUUGUGUAUUUUCAUGUUUGUUUUUAAUGUGCAGGCAACAUUUGAAAUGGUGACAAUGGAUUCGUAGCUGCUGACCAAUAUCACCAAAUAUUUAGUAUCUUUCUUUUUUAUUCAUUUUUCUCUAAUCUAUAUAAAAAUGUUACUUUCAGGUUCUGGAAAACUAUUUGAAUCUGAUUAACCAACAGUAGUUGCAGAGACAUUGUUUCUCUAUAUCAUGGUCAAUAAUUCUUCUAGAUGCAAUGGAUUGUGCCUUGGAGCUGAUUAAAAGGAAGAGAAAACAUUCAUUUUGACAUGGGAAACAGUAAAUUACGCUACGCAUCAGCAGCAGCAGGAAUCCGAGAGGGUAUAGAUUUGUUGAAUGUUUUGAGGAAUGUGAAAUUUUGAUACUCUUUUCAACAUGAUCGCAAAGUGUAAGCCUUAAAGCUUCCAUUACUCAGGAGGAGUGAGGCCUAUUCUCAAGACAAGUCAUCAAGGAAAUGGGUAUGUAUUUGAUUUGAGUUUUUGAAGAAUUAUCUACAUCAAACAUGACAUAAUGUAUAUUAUAAAGAAUAUGGUUAAAUAAAUAAAAUAACAUCAUAUAUGUGUAACAUCCAUCUCAUUAUUUAAGAUUUUAAUAUAAAAUCUUCAUUUUCAAAGCCAAAAUGAAUAAUUACAAAACUUAGUUAUAAAAACUAAGAUUACAUAAAUAAGUUGUUCUAAAAUUACCAACUGACUAGUUUAAAACAUUCAACAUAUAGUUAGUGUUCACAAAAUAAACAUCAUCUAAAACAAGAUUAAAUUAGCGCGGAAGCUUCAAAAAUUUGUGUUCGGUUCUUGAUUUCUUGCUUGAUCGGCAUCCGAAAUGAGACGAAUAUCACCUAAGGUCAAAACCACAAUAAAUAUUAGUUUUGACAACAAUAAAAUGUAUAUAAACAUGUUCUAGUAUCAUACAUAU
This 2541-nucleotide long non-coding RNA is filed under the name Helianthus annuus (common sunflower). RNAcentral's name for it is "hypothetical non coding rna". Lineage: Eukaryota; Viridiplantae; Streptophyta; Magnoliopsida; Asterales; Asteraceae. The record is from RNAcentral.